GACGAAGGUGGCUAGCGUUAUUCGGAUUCACUGGGCAUAAAGAGCGCGCAGGCGGUCGUUCAAGUCGCGUGUGAAAGCCCCCGGCUCAACUGGGGAGGGUCACGCGAUACUGAUCGACUCGAAGGCAGGAGAGGGAAGUGGAAUUCCCGGUGUAGUGGUGAAAUGCGUAGAUAUCGGGAGGAACACCAGUGGCGAAGGCGACUUCCUGGCCUGUUCUUGACGCUGAGGCGCGAAAGCUAGGGGAGCAAACGGG
Molecule: ribosomal RNA, 253 nt
Filed under: uncultured bacterium
Lineage: Bacteria
Description: partial 16S ribosomal RNA
Rfam family: Bacterial small subunit ribosomal RNA
Source: RNAcentral